AGGCUGGUAGCUCAGUUGGUAGAGCACCACUAUAUAUAAGUAGAGGUCCUGGGCUCAAUCCCCAGCUGGUCCA
Serpula lacrymans var. lacrymans S7.3 is the source of this 73-nucleotide transfer RNA. It matches the Rfam family "tRNA". Rfam says of the family: Transfer RNA (tRNA) molecules are approximately 80 nucleotides in length. Lineage: Eukaryota; Fungi; Basidiomycota; Agaricomycetes; Boletales; Serpulaceae. The record is from Rfam.